RNAcentral lists this unclassified non-coding RNA (178 nucleotides) under soil metagenome. RNAcentral's name for it is "partial internal transcribed spacer 1". The record is from RNAcentral.
CCGAGUUUACAACUCCCAAACCAAUGUGAACCAUACCAAACUGUUGCCUCGGCGGGUCACGCCCGGGUGCGUCGCAGCCCCGGAACCAGGCGCCCGCCGGAGGGACCAACCAAACUCUUUCUGUAGUCCCCUCGCGACGUUAUUUCUUACAGCUCUGAGCAAAAUUCAAAAUGAAUCA